AUUGAACGCUGGCGGCAUGCUUUACACAUGCAAGUCGAACGGUAACAGCACUUCGGUGGCUGACGAGUGGCGAACGGGUGAGUAAUACAUCGGAACGUGCCUAGUAGUGGGGGAUAACUACUCGAAAGAGUAGCUAAUACCGCAUGAGAUCUAAGGAUGAAAGCAGGGGACCUUCGGGCCUUGCGCUACUAGAGCGGCUGAUGGCAGAUUAGGUAGUUGGUGGGAUAAAAGCUUACCAAGCCGACGAUCUGUAGCUGGUCUGAGAGGACGACCAGCCACACUAGGACUGAGACACGGCCCAGACUCCUACGGGAGGCAGCAGUGGGGAAUUUUGGAGAAUGGGCGCAAGACUGAUCCAGCAAUGACGCGUGCAGGAUGAAGGACGUCGGGUUGUAAACUGCUUUUGUACGGAACGAAAAGCCCUCUGCUAAUACAGGAGGGUCAUGACGGUACCGUAAGAAUAAGCACCGGCUAACUACGUG
RNAcentral lists this ribosomal RNA (482 nucleotides) under uncultured bacterium. Its description in RNAcentral is "partial 16S ribosomal RNA". It matches the Rfam family "Bacterial small subunit ribosomal RNA", at positions 30 to 507 of the family's 1533-position model. The record is from RNAcentral.